This 205-nucleotide ribosomal RNA is filed under the name Dares ulula. Its description in RNAcentral is "partial small subunit ribosomal RNA". The record is from RNAcentral. Lineage: Eukaryota; Metazoa; Arthropoda; Insecta; Phasmatodea; Heteropterygidae.
CCUGGGGAUUAUUAGUUAUGUUCUUUAAACCUAAAGAAUUUGGCGGUAUUUUAGUCUAUUCAGAGGAAUUUGUCCCAUAAUCGAUAGUCCUCGUUUUAUCUUACUUUAUUUUGUUUUCAGUAUGUAUAUCGCCGUUAUAAGUUUAUUUUUUGAGGAUUUUAAUUUACUUAAAAUUUUAUUUUAUGAUAUUUCANNUCAAGGUGCA